Molecule: ribosomal RNA, 1029 nt
Filed under: Azolla filiculoides
Lineage: Eukaryota; Viridiplantae; Streptophyta; Polypodiopsida; Salviniales; Salviniaceae
Description: SSU rRNA
Rfam family: Eukaryotic small subunit ribosomal RNA (bases 40-543)
Source: RNAcentral
UAAACUCCCAGCCCUAACAGUAUGAUAGAGCGUAUAUUUAAGUUGUUGCAGUUAAAAAGCUCGUAGUUGGAUCUCGGGGCGGGGCGAGCGGUCCGCCUCUUCGGUGUGCACUGGUUGCUCCGCCCUUUCUGUCGGGGACGCGCUCCUGUCCUUAACUGGUCGGGACGCGGAUUCGGCGAUGUUACUUUGAAAAAAUUAGAGUGCUCAAAGCAAGCCUAUGCUCUGAAUACAUUAGCAUGGAAUAACGUGAUAGGACUCUGGUCCUAUUGUGUUGGUCUUCGGGACCGGAGUAAUGAUUAAUAGGGACAGUUGGGGGCAUUCGUAUUUCAUUGUCAGAGGUGAAAUUCUUGGAUUUAUGAAAGACGAACUACUGCGAAAGCAUUUGCCAAGGAUGUUUUCAUUAAUCAAGAACGAAAGUUGGGGGCUCGAAGACGAUCAGAUACCGUCCUAGUCUCAACCAUAAACGAUGCCGACUAGGGAUUGGCGGAUGUUAUAUUGAUGACUCCGCCAGCACCUUAUGGGAAACCAAAGGUUUGGGUUCACACUCUGUCGUCUCGUAAUCAACAAACGAUCACGAUUCUCCAUCAGUGAAGAGGAUUAUAGUUCGUACUACCUGCUCAUGCACUGAGGAUAUUCAAUUCUCCACUUCCCGAAUUAGCAAAAUUCGUUGAUAUACGUGUCCGAAUUCAGCUCUACCGUCCCCAACUGCCGUCUAAUAACCCCAUUUAAAUGGCCUUCUCUCCCUUUCACCCCCCCCACACACACAACUCACGGGACUAAAUGAUGCCUAAAAAUUUGUUCUAAAUAAGUCGUGUCUGCUAGAAAAUUCUUUUAUGAUACCUUACCGGCGGCGUCUACGCGUGGAGAGUUUCUCCUGAGGCAUGAUAGCCUACUUGGGCGCCCCCGCCCUCUCCUUCCUUAGUUUGUUCACGAUACUGACUUUACUUGCUCUGGGCCGCCAGUAUUCGGCUGCGGGCCGCAAGGGAACCACAGAUAGAAUACAAUGUAUGUAGUGAAAGGCCCUCCCUC